RNAcentral lists this ribosomal RNA (416 nucleotides) under uncultured bacterium. RNAcentral describes it as "bacterial SSU rRNA". It matches the Rfam family "Bacterial small subunit ribosomal RNA", at positions 28 to 442 of the family's 1533-position model. The record is from RNAcentral.
GACGAACGCUGGCGGCGUGCCUAACACAUGCAAGUCAACUUGACUGAAGGAGCAAUCUGACAGUAGAGUGGCGCAAGGGUGCGUAACGCGUAAGUAACUUGCCCCAAGGUAAGGAAUAACGUCGAGAAAUCGGCGCUAAUACCUCAUAAUGCAGCGGAUCCGCAUGGAUAUGUUGUUAAAGGUUUACCGCCUUGGGAUAGGCUUGCGUCUGAUUAGCUAGUUGGUGUGGUAACGGCACACCAAGGCUACGAUCAGUAACUGGUCUGAGGGGAUGAUCAGUCACACUGGAACUGAGACACGGUCCAGACUCCUACGGGAGGCAGCAGUGAGGAAUAUUUGGGCAAUGCUCGAAAGAGUGACCCAGCAACGCCGCGUGGAGGAUGAAGGUAUUCUAUAUUGUAAACUACCUGUGAGAG